Molecule: ribosomal RNA, 270 nt
Filed under: uncultured archaeon
Lineage: Archaea
Description: partial 16S ribosomal RNA
Rfam family: Archaeal small subunit ribosomal RNA
Source: RNAcentral
CAGCACCUCAAGUGGUCAGGAUGAUUAUUGGGCCUAAAGCAUCCGUAGCCGGCGCUGUAAGUUUUCGGUUAAAUCUGUACGCUCAACGUACAGGCUGCCGGGAAUACUGCAGCGCUAGGGAGUGGGAGAGGUAGACGGUACUCGGUAGGAAGGGGUAAAAUCCUUUGAUCUAUUGAUGACCACCUGUGGCGAAGGCGGCCUACCAGAACACGUCCGACGGUGAGGGAUGAAAGCUGGGGGAGCAAACCGGAUUAGAUACCCGAGUAGUCC